Molecule: long non-coding RNA, 1750 nt
Organism: Diceros bicornis minor
Lineage: Eukaryota; Metazoa; Chordata; Mammalia; Perissodactyla; Rhinocerotidae
Exons: 2
Source: RefSeq, a predicted model, not a curated record
UCGUUACUCUCCCCCUCCUCCAGGUCACCGGAGUUGGUGGCCUCACCUGCCCUGUCGGGUGGAGGGGUGCUUACAUCUCAGUUUGGCCUGGGGUCUCCAGGGUCCUAAGUCAGGUGGACCUGAGUUCCAGGGCCAUUGGCUAACCCUGUGACCAGGGCUGGCACUCUACCUUCCCGAGCCUCAGUUUCUUCGUCUGUGAAAUGGGGGGGGAGGAUAAAAGGUGACCAUAACAGUAAGGAACACACACAGUCAGUGGAGAGCCCUGUGUGGCAGGGCUCACUAUUCUUGCUUCACAGACGAGAAAACGGAGGCCCAGAGAGGCUCAAGACCACACAAGGGGCAAGUGAGAGAGCUGGAUUCAAACCCGGACCAGCUGGUGCCCCUGGGCGCACACACUGCUCUGCUGGUCCCAGGGGCCAGCCUGACUGCCACCCUUCACGGAUGCAGAGAGAGGUGACUCCCUCCCUAUUGGGCAGAGGGAGACUCACAUUCAGGUCUGCCCAGGCCCCUGGUCAGGCUAUUCCCAGGCUGGCAAAGAUGCCUCCCACUUCGCAGCACUGCUUGGAGCGAGACCCUCCUCCACCCCCUCCCUGCCACGGAACACCCGAGAUGGGAAGGACCUUAAGGAGGAAGGUGUGAUCCAGGGGUUUUCAGACACUUAUGGCUGUGGAACCCCUUUUUCAAGUGCUUUGUGACCCAGAAGCUUAUUUAAAACAGAUAAAAAUGGAGCUGCCCUCCCUCACCUCCGUGAUAUCCCCCAAGUCCUCCCAGGUGGGACCAUGAGGCACUGAAGGGUUGGUUUGGGGCCUUGUCCAAGGUCAUACCGACUCCGUCUAGGACCCAGGCCUCCCCACAUCUGCUCUGGGCUAAGACUGGCUUGGGAAGGGGGAAGGUCCAGGUGUAGGGGUCCAGCUGCCACCACUUACCUGCCAUUCAGCACCCCUGGCCACCUGUCCCACCUCUGCCACUGCUCCCAGGCGGAGAGCAGCGUCCCGGCCAAGUGUCUCCUGCACCAGCCCGGCUGUCGGUGUCACCUCGGCAGGUGCCAAGCUUCCUGCAAUGGAAACCCAGGAAGUGCCCUGGAUGAGAACACACGCCCUUUGUCUGCCAGCUCAGAGGGCCUCCUCCCCUCCUCCUGCCCUGCCAGCCCCCACCAGCUUUCUCCCAAGCCACUGGGCAAGGGGGCUCAGUCUUGUGUGAGGGUCAUGGCAGCUGAGACCUUGGGUGGCAGGGACUGGGUGGGAGAGAGGUUUGGGGGCAAGGUCCAGGGCAGUGGGGACAUUUGCUGCUGUCCAGUCUGCUGGGGACAAUGGCACCUGCUGCUCAUAGAGGAGGGCUUUGACCCAACAAACACUGGCUGGGCACCUACUCUGUGCUCAGCAUAAGUCAAGAAGCCCACGGGAAUCAAGUCGGACACAAUCAAUCCUGUCCCCACGGGACUUACAGGGAGGUGGGGAGAGGGACACAUAACGCAAAUUAAUAUAAUAAUUACCAGUGGUGAAGUGUGCUAUGAAGGCAUGACCAAGGGGCUGAGACAGAAUAAGGGGUGCAGGCGAGGGUCAGGCAGGCCUCUGGAGGGUGACGUUUCUUUGUUUUUUAUUAUGAAAGUUUUUGUUGUACAUUAUUGUUUGUCAGUCAUCAUAUAAGUGCAUCCCUCCACCCCUUGUGCCCAACCCCCAGCCCCCUUGCCCCAGAGAGUUCUGUCUGUCCGUGCGUUGGUUUAUCUUCCACAUAUGAGUGACAUCAUGCA